GAUGAACGCUGGCGGCGUGCCUAAUACAUGCAAGUCGAGCGAACAGACGAGGAGCUUGCUCCUCUGACGUUAGCGGCGGACGGGUGAGUAACACGUGGAUAACCUACCUAUAAGACUGGGAUAACUUCGGGAAACCGGAGCUAAUACCGGAUAACAUGUUGAACCGCAUGGUUCAACAGUGAAAGACGGUCUUGCUGUCACUUAUAGAUGGAUCCGCGCCGCAUUAGCUAGUUGGUAAGGUAACGGCUUACCAAGGCAACGAUGCGUAGCCGACCUGAGAGGGUGAUCGGCCACACUGGAACUGAGACACGGUCCAGACUCCUACGGGAGGCAGCAGUAGGGAAUCUUCCGCAAUGGGCGAAAGACUGACGGAGCAACGCCGCGUGAGUGAUGAAGGUCUUCGGAUCGUAAAACUCUGUUAUUAGGGAAGAACAAAUGUGUAAGUAACUAUGCACGUCUUGACGGUACCUAAUCAGAAAGCCACGGCUAACUACGUG
This 497-nucleotide ribosomal RNA is filed under the name uncultured bacterium. Its description in RNAcentral is "partial 16S ribosomal RNA". It matches the Rfam family "Bacterial small subunit ribosomal RNA", at positions 28 to 507 of the family's 1533-position model. The record is from RNAcentral.